Molecule: non-coding RNA, 21 nt
Filed under: Arabidopsis thaliana (thale cress)
Lineage: Eukaryota; Viridiplantae; Streptophyta; Magnoliopsida; Brassicales; Brassicaceae
Source: RNAcentral
UUGAAUUCGGGUUAUUUGAUU